This is a long non-coding RNA of Cydia splendana, 451 nucleotides long. RefSeq lists it as uncharacterized. The transcript is spliced from 2 exons. Lineage: Eukaryota; Metazoa; Arthropoda; Insecta; Lepidoptera; Tortricidae. The record is from RefSeq and is a predicted model, not a curated record.
CACCGUGUUUUUAUUGAAUUCCGUUAACUUCGGGGUAUAGUUAAGUACGUUUAUAAGAACUAAAUGGCAUAGUUAAUUUAAAAAAAAAAAAAUUUUUUUUUUUAAUUAAAUGUAGCAUAUAGCGUUGUUGUAACACGGGCAUUACAUUUAACUCAACCAAACAAUUGAAAUCUGUGACAUAUCAAUGUCAUUUCGUACAUCAAUCGACCGAGAUUGUACUUAAGUUUAGUAGCAAAUGUAUGAACUCAUUCUAAACACUAAUCAAUAUGUAAGCCGGCCCUAAGGCAAGUGUACACGCUUGUAGAGGCCUUAUAGUAAAAAAAUAAAUUAUGGAUUAUCUCCGAAAUGGACUUAAUUAGAACAUCGGUGUCUUUGAGAAAGUUACUUGAUUUAAGCUCAGGAAUGCACCCUUGAAAUUAACGGAAAUCAAAAAAAAAACACGGUGUAUUUA